UUUUAAAUUUAGAGUUUGAUCCUGGCUCAGGACGAACGCUGGCGGCGUGCUUAACACAUGCAAGUCGAGCGAUGAAGCUUCCUUCGGGAAGUGAAUUAGCGGCGGACGGGUGAGUAACACGUGGGUAACCUGCCUCAAAGUGGGGGAUAGCCUUCCGAAAGGAAGAUUAAUACCGCAUAAUAUGAGAGAAUCGCAUGAUUUUCUUAUCAAAGAUUUAUUGCUUUGAGAUGGACCCGCGGCGCAUUAGCUAGUUGGUAAGGUAACGGCUUACCAAGGCAACGAUGCGUAGCCGACCUGAGAGGGUGAUCGGCCACAUUGGAACUGAGACAC
Molecule: ribosomal RNA, 330 nt
Filed under: Clostridium botulinum
Lineage: Bacteria; Bacillati; Bacillota; Clostridia; Eubacteriales; Clostridiaceae
Description: bacterial SSU rRNA
Rfam family: Bacterial small subunit ribosomal RNA
Source: RNAcentral